Molecule: ribosomal RNA, 274 nt
Filed under: uncultured bacterium
Lineage: Bacteria
Description: partial 16S ribosomal RNA
Rfam family: Bacterial small subunit ribosomal RNA
Source: RNAcentral
AUACGUAUGGGGCGAGCGUUGUUCGGAAUUAUUGGGCGUAAAGGGCGUGUAGGCGGCUUAUCAAGCCUGGUGUUAAAAUGCACAGCUUAACUGUGCAGGUGCGCUGGGAACUGGUGAGCUUGAGUCUAGGAGGGGAAGCUGGAAUUCCUGGUGUAGGGGUGAAAUCUGUAGAUAUCAGGAAGAACACCGGUGGCGAAGGCGAGCUUCUAGCCAUAGACUGACGCUGAGGCGCGAAAGCGUGGGGAGCGAACAGGAUUAGAAACCCUAGUAGUCC